This 64-nucleotide transfer RNA is filed under the name Novacerus sp. FZ-2019. Its description in RNAcentral is "tRNA-Asp". The record is from RNAcentral. Lineage: Eukaryota; Metazoa; Arthropoda; Collembola; Entomobryomorpha; Tomoceridae.
UUAAAGUUAGUUAAAAUCAAUAUAGCUUUGUCAAAGCUAAGUAACUCCUAAAAAGUACUUUUUU